GCGCCUGUAGCUCAGGGGGAGAGCGCUUGCUUGACACGCAAGAGGCCAGUGGUUCAAAACCACUCAGGCGCACCA
This 75-nucleotide transfer RNA is filed under the name Bacillota bacterium. RNAcentral's name for it is "tRNA-Val". It matches the Rfam family "tRNA". Rfam says of the family: Transfer RNA (tRNA) molecules are approximately 80 nucleotides in length. RNAcentral also lists the same sequence under 1 other name. Lineage: Bacteria; Bacillati; Bacillota. The record is from RNAcentral.